GACGAACGCUGGCGGCGUGCUUAACACAUGCAAGUCGAACGGAAAGGCCCUGCUUUUGUGGUGUGCUCGAGUGGCGAACGGGUGCGUAACACGUGAGUAACCUGCCCUUGACUUUGGUAUAACUUCAGGAAACUAGGGCUAAUACCGGAUAGGAGCUCCUGCUGCAUGGUGGGGGUUGGAAAUUUUCGGCGGUUGGGGAUGGACUCGCGGCUUAUCAGCUUGUUGGUGGGGUAGGGGCUUGCCAAGGCUUUGACGGGUAGCCGGCCUGAGAGGGUGAACGGCGACAUUGGGACUGAGAUACGGCCCAGACUCCUACGGGAGGCAGCAGUGGGGAAUAUUGCACAAUGGGCGGAAGCCGGAUGCAGCAACGCCGCGUGCGGGAUGACGGCCUUCGGGUUGUAAACCGCUUUCGCCUGUGACGAAGCGUGAGUGACGGUAAUGGGUAAAGAAGCACCGGCUAACUACGUG
RNAcentral lists this ribosomal RNA (468 nucleotides) under uncultured bacterium. RNAcentral describes it as "partial 16S ribosomal RNA". It matches the Rfam family "Bacterial small subunit ribosomal RNA", at positions 28 to 507 of the family's 1533-position model. The record is from RNAcentral.